AGUGAACGCUGGCGGUAGGCCUAACACAUGCAAGUCGAACGGCAGCACAGUAAGAGCUUGCUCUUACGGGUGGCGAGUGGCGGACGGGCGAGGAAUACAUCGGAAUCUACUUUUUCGUGGGGGAUAACGUAGGGAAACUUACGCUAAUACCGCAUACGACCUACGGGUGAAAGCAGGGGAUCUUCGGACCUUGCGCGAUUGAAUGAGCCGAUGUCGGAUUAGCUAGUUGGCGGGGUAAAGGCCCACCAAGGCGACGAUCCGUAGCUGGUCUGAGAGGAUGAUCAGCGACACUGGAACUGAGACACGGUCCAGACUCCUACGGGAGGCAGCAGUGGGGAAUAUUGGACAAUGGGCGCAAGCCUGAUCCAGCCAUACCGCGUGGGUGAAGAAGGCCUUCGGGUUGUAAAGCCCUUUUGUUGGGAAAGAAAAGCAGCAGGUUAAUACCCCGCUGUUCUGACGGUACCCAAAGAAUAAGCACCGGCUAACUUCGUG
Molecule: ribosomal RNA, 492 nt
Filed under: uncultured bacterium
Lineage: Bacteria
Description: partial 16S ribosomal RNA
Rfam family: Bacterial small subunit ribosomal RNA
Source: RNAcentral